Molecule: ribosomal RNA, 305 nt
Filed under: uncultured bacterium
Lineage: Bacteria
Description: bacterial SSU rRNA
Rfam family: Bacterial small subunit ribosomal RNA
Source: RNAcentral
CCUACGGGAGGCAGCAGUCGAGAAUCAUUCACAAUGGGGGAAACCCUGAUGGUGCGACGCCGCGUGGGGGAAUGAAGGUCUUCGGAUUGUAAACCCCUGUCAUGUGGGAGCAAAUUAAAAAGAUAGUACCACAAGAGGAAGAGACGGCCAACUCUGUGCCAGCAGCCGCGGUAAUACGUAGGGAGCGAGCGUUAUCCGGAUUUAUUGGGUGUAAAGGGUGCGAAGACGGGUCUACAAGUUAGUUGUGAAAUCCCUCGGCUCAACUGAGGAACUGCAGCUAAAACUAUAGAUCUUGAGUGCAGGAG